GGAGAGAUGCUCGAGUGGUUGAAGAGGCACGCCUGGAAAGCGUGUAUGCGCCAAAAGCGUAUCACGAGUUCGAAUCUCGUUCUCUCCG
RNAcentral lists this transfer RNA (88 nucleotides) under Paludibacteraceae bacterium. RNAcentral describes it as "tRNA-Ser". It matches the Rfam family "tRNA". From Rfam's summary of the family: Transfer RNA (tRNA) molecules are approximately 80 nucleotides in length. Their secondary structure includes four short double-helical elements and three loops (D, anti-codon, and T loops). Lineage: Bacteria; Pseudomonadati; Bacteroidota; Bacteroidia; Bacteroidales; Paludibacteraceae. The record is from RNAcentral.